RNAcentral lists this ribosomal RNA (468 nucleotides) under uncultured bacterium. RNAcentral's name for it is "partial 16S ribosomal RNA". It matches the Rfam family "Bacterial small subunit ribosomal RNA", at positions 28 to 507 of the family's 1533-position model. The record is from RNAcentral.
GACGAACGCUGGCGGCGUGCUUAACACAUGCAAGUCGAACGGAAAGGCCCUGCUUUUGUGGGGUGCUCGAGUGGCGAACGGGUGAGUAACACGUGAGUAACCUGCCCUUGACUUUGGGAUAACUUCAGGAAACUGGGGCUAAUACCGGAUAGGAGCUCCUGCUGCAUGGUGGGGGUUGGAAAGUUUCGGCGGUUGGGGCUGGACUCGCGGCUUAUCAGCUGGUUGGUGGGGUAGUGGCUUACCAAGGCUUUGACGGGUAGCCGGCCUGAGAGGGUGACCGGCCACAUGGGGACUGAGAGACGGCCCAGAAUCCUAUGGGAGGCAGCAGUGGGGAAUAUUGCACAAUGGGCGGAAGCCUGAUGCAGCAACGCCGCGUGCGGGAUGACGGCCUUCGGGUUGUAAACCGCUUUCGCCUGUGACGAAGCGUGAGUGACGGUAAUGGGUAAAGAAGCACCGGCUAACUACGUG